This 520-nucleotide ribosomal RNA is filed under the name uncultured Glomus. RNAcentral's name for it is "SSU rRNA". It matches the Rfam family "Eukaryotic small subunit ribosomal RNA", at positions 569 to 1090 of the family's 1831-position model. Lineage: Eukaryota; Fungi; Glomeromycota; Glomeromycetes; Glomerales; Glomeraceae. The record is from RNAcentral.
CGCAGCCGCGGUAAUUCCAGCUCCAAUAGCGUAUAUUAAAGUUGUUGCAGUUAAAAAGCUCGUAGUUGAAUUUCGGGGUCAGUAGAUUGGUCGUGCCACUGGUAUGUACUGGUCUCACUGGCUCCUCCUUCCUGAUGAACCGUAAUGCCAUUAAUUUGGUGUUGCGGGGAGACUGGACUGUUACUUUGAAAAAAUUAGAGCGUUUAAAGCAGGCUAACGCUUGAAUACAUUAGCACGGAAUAAUGAAAUAGGACGUUCGAUCUUAUUUUGUUGGUUUCUAAGAUUGACGUAAUGAUUAAUAGGGAUAGUUGGGGGCAUUAGUAUUCAAUUGUCAGAGGUGAAAUUCUUGGAUUUAUUGAAGACUAACUACUGCGAAAGCAUUUGCCAAGGAUGUUUUCAUUAAUCAAGAACGAAAGUUAGGGGAUCGAAGACGAUCAGAUACCGUCGUAGUCUUAACCAUAAACUAUGCCGACUAGGGAUCGGAUGAUGUUAAUUUUUUAAUGACUCAUUCGGCGCCUUA